UUUAAAUCAUUAAUACUAUUAUUUGAAUUUUCAACACUCGUUUUUUUAGUUAAUAUUAAUAAUGAAAAAAUAAUGCAGAAAAAUUUGAGAAAAUACUUUUAUAUAAAAUUUAUUUUACUAAAACUCUAGUACAAUCAUUACAAAAUAAAAAUAAAAGUUAGAGAAAAUAAAACAAAUGAAAAUAUCUAUAUAUAUAAUAGAAAAAAUAUAAGUCUCAAAAUCUAAUAGAUCAAUUGACAUAUACGACAUCCUUGUUAAUUAAAAUUUUAACACAUAUGAAAUUCUUAUGAGAAACACUUCAUUUCUCGUCUCCAUGAAAUUGUAGAAAUCUAUACAAGAAAAUCAAGCAAGACUUUUCGAUAGUCAUCAAAAUUUUAUCUCUAAGAAUAUUCAAAACUUCACUACUCCAUAAUUGACAAAAGUAUCAAACAAAAACCUAAAAAGAAGUUUAUACAACCCCAAAAACCUCGAUCACACAUUCUGUUUUUUUUUUUUUUCAUUCUUAUCGAUUUGUUUUCCUUGUUCCUACGUGCCAAGCCAAACGCACGAAAACUUCUCCCCUCCUCCUCCCUCCCUUAAGAGAAGAAGAUAGAAACUGUGGAGUUGACGCGUGUACAGUGUUUACAUAGACCCUACUCGUGUUGGCUCUUUCUCCUCCCUAAUCUUUCCAAAACACUUUUUUUCUUAUAACAAAAACGAAGAAGAUUCGUCUUCGAGCUGUGAACCCCACAUCCCAAUCACACACAUACACACACAGAGAAGAAAAAAAAGAAAGAAAGAAAAAAAAUGCUCAUUAUAGGGGCCGUGUAGUUCCACAAAUAGCAGGACCCCAUGUGUCCCCCUCUUAGGUCUUAAGUCAAGAAAGCAGCCAAUCCUAUAAUUGUUACAAUUUUCCACGACUCUCUCUUUCUCACCUUUAUACAUUUAUAUUUUUCUUCUCUCCCAUUUACUCCAUCAACUCCAAUUAUACAAAUCCUAUAAGGCCACC
This 988-nucleotide long non-coding RNA is filed under the name Capsella rubella. RNAcentral describes it as "long non-coding RNA (CRUB_LNC003329)". Lineage: Eukaryota; Viridiplantae; Streptophyta; Magnoliopsida; Brassicales; Brassicaceae. The record is from RNAcentral.